GAUCCUGUCUGGGAGGUAUUUGUCCUCUAAACACCCCAGGAAGAAAGGGAGGAGACCCUUCAGUCACAGGAUGUGUAAGAGAGCAGAAAAUAGUGCAGCAGUAUCCAUUCCUGGGGCUGAGUCCUUGCCUCCCUGAGAAGGUGUUUGUGCUGGAAAGAGCUGAUGGAAGUUCCCAGACCAAGCGAGAUCCCUGGACAGGAAUUGUACCUGCAGCUGAGCCCCAAGUCCCUUCUGUUUCCAUGGUCUGUAAGGCAAUGCAAGGAAGAACAGAUGUUAACAAGAUAAAACCCCGGAGCAGAGAGAGACUUAAUCCCCUGUCCCCCUCACUGUCAUAGCAUCAGUUCCCAGACUCCAGAAAACAUUGUUGUUUUCACCAGCUUGCAGAACAUGGACAACAUGAUGUCCUAAUUGUCCUUUUCAAGUCUCCCAUCUCUAAUAUGAGGCAAUAAUCAUUUACAGAACACUUUGUUUAAGAAGUUAUUCCCCUCUUCUUUCUCCACCUGUGGGAGGCUGAAGGAAAAAGAUGCAAAGUAAGGCUCAAACAAGAAGAAUCUGAGGCAAUCAUGUCAGCCACUCAGCCAUGUCUCACCAUGAUGUCAUUGCUUGUCUGACAUAUAUGACACCUUCAUCACAUUCACCAUAACUGGACACAUCAGGAUCAUUACAUACAUCUGCUGAAAAUACUUCUUCAAUACCUAAAUUCCAAGAUUUCUUGCUCAUACCAUAUUGGUUUUUCUUAUCCCUUGCCUUCAUCAGCUUGCAAAAAAACAAACCGACAAUACUUGGUUUUUGUAGACUGCAAAUAUGUUUACAUCUUUGCUGUGGUUAUUACAGUGUUUUGCUUUGAAAAAUAUUAUCUGCAUUAUUACUGAAACUCUUUGCUUUUGAGGACAUUCCUACUGCCCUCACUAGUGUGAAGCAGGGCACCACUUUGUUGUUUGCUGGCAGUAUAUAAAAAUUAAACAUUUAUAACACAAAUUGACAGAGCUGUCAAUGUGUAAGAGGAAGAGAGUAGGCCCUAUUUUCCAUCUGGGGAGUUGAGGUGUGAGAAAAUUGACUUAUCCAAGGUAGAGUUAAAGCCUGACCAUAUUUUUCUUAAACAGUAAGAUGAAUGCAGUGGUUUGAUUAUAGCUUCAUAGAUAAAGUAUAUUAGUUUGGCGUGUGUUCUGUGCUUUAUUGAGGAGGUAGAAGGCAUAAAGGUGCCUUGGGGCUCUACCACCAAAAUCCCAACUUCUGGAGGUUAAUACUGCAUCAGACUGAUUUCACUAAAAUUACAGGGCCCCAGUAAGGGCACGUGUCCACUCAUGCUGCUGGAGCCAGGGCUCAGGGGGACAGCUUAGUCACAGCUCAGCAGGAAACCAGGGUCAGCAGGCAACAAGUCUACAGCACUGCACAGGGAUGUGGUAAAUGAUCUGCAGCAGCUGCAAACUGGAAACUGGAGAAAAAUAGUGUAAAUACUAGCUUUUCAGAGAAUAAUUACUUUAAGGUGGAAUUUUUUAAGAGGAAAAGAUUCAGAUUUUGGUUUCCAACUUCUCAUGUACCUAGGAGCAGAUGAGCAGCACAGCUGACUAGAUGGCUUUUCUCAAUGUUUAUAAGGAAAUAAAAAUUCAUAUGGUGUGUUUGAUCUU
This is a long non-coding RNA of Tyto alba (common barn owl), 1628 nucleotides long. RefSeq lists it as uncharacterized. The transcript has 3 exons. NCBI's taxonomy places the organism in Eukaryota, Metazoa, Chordata, Aves, Strigiformes, Tytonidae. The record is from RefSeq and is a predicted model, not a curated record.